Acipenser ruthenus (sterlet) is the source of this 887-nucleotide long non-coding RNA. RefSeq lists it as uncharacterized. The transcript is spliced from 5 exons. The record is from RefSeq and is a predicted model, not a curated record. NCBI's taxonomy places the organism in Eukaryota, Metazoa, Chordata, Actinopteri, Acipenseriformes, Acipenseridae.
GCAGACCUCACCACACCCACUGCCUGGACCUCCAACUGCCGACUGGCCAACACCUUUGAUAAACCUGGAAAGGAGCAGGGCAAAGAAAAUGGCUGUCAGGAAACAUACUCAGGUAAGUAGAAUUACCACCUCUACCCAGGGGUUCUACUUACUUCCCCUUAACCUUUAAUCUUUAAACCCCGCGUGUCUCCUUUCUCUCGCGCCAUCGUUCCUGGAACCCUGACGAGGCACGCUGGAGACCAGCGCUGGACCUUGACCCUCCUCGUUGACUGACCCUUGGCCGUCUCCCAGGACCACAACCUUGACUCUGCUGGGGAAUGGAUUGUCCAAGGAGUACCAUCCAGACACAAGAAGAAGACCAGCUGGGACCAAUUUAGGAUCCACAAAAGGUUAGUCAAAGCCUCACCAAACCUACAGUGAAUAUAAAAAACACAGUGUGACAGAGAGAGAAUGAAUUCUAGUCAACAAUCUCCCUCCCGACCUGUGAGGGCGCUGUGCAACAGGAACAGUGUGCCCCGGACUGGAUGGUUGGGCAGUUCAUUCCAGGGUCAGUCUGAAGCCAGCCAUCCAAGAAGGGGGCGAAGUCACAAUACCAGAAGUCAUCACCUUAAUGCGACGGCUAAACUAUCCGGGAGCUGUAGCGAGACGCCAGUAUUAAACCUGGACUACACUUCACCACUGUACGCCAUUGUAUUUCACCACCUGCACCAAGAGCACUUAUUCUGGACUUUGUGAACGUGCUGUGUGUGUGUGUGUGUGUUUAUUCAUGCUUUAUUAUUUCGGGACUGAGAUCGUGUUUACGAAUUGAGUGAUACACAUUGUUGUGUAAAGCCCGUUCAUUAUUAUUUCAGUGUUGCAGGCACACAACCCAGCCUAUUAAAGAGCUA